RNAcentral lists this ribosomal RNA (441 nucleotides) under uncultured bacterium. Its description in RNAcentral is "partial 16S ribosomal RNA". It matches the Rfam family "Bacterial small subunit ribosomal RNA", at positions 338 to 795 of the family's 1533-position model. The record is from RNAcentral.
CCUACGGUUGGCAGCAGUGGGGAAUAUUGCACAAUGGGGGAAACCCUGAUGCAGCAACGCCGCGUGAGUGAGGAAGUAUUUCGGUAUGUAAAGCUCUAUCAGCAGGGAAUAGAAAAGAAGGUACCUGAAAAAGCAGCCCCGGCUAACUAAGUGUCAGGAGCCGCGGUAAUACGUAGGGGGCAAGCGGUAUCCGGAUGUACUGGGUGUAAAGGGAGCGUAGACGGAAAGGGAAGUCAAAAGUGAAAAGCCAAGGCUCAACCAUGGGACUGCUUUUGAAACUGGCAAACUAGAGUACGGGAGAGGUAAGAGGAAUUCCUAGUGUAGCGGUGAAAUGCGUAGAUAUUAGGAGGAACACCAGUGGCGAAGGCGUCUUACUGGACCGAAACUGACGUUGAGGCUCGAAAGCGUGGGGAGCAAACAGGAUUAGAUACCCGGGUAGUC